Molecule: ribosomal RNA, 466 nt
Filed under: uncultured bacterium
Lineage: Bacteria
Description: partial 16S ribosomal RNA
Rfam family: Bacterial small subunit ribosomal RNA
Source: RNAcentral
GACGAACGCUGGCGGCGUGCUUAACACAUGCAAGUCGAACGGAAAGGCCCUGCUUGCAGGGUACUCGAGUGGCGAACGGGUGAGUAACACGUGGGUGAUCUGCCCUGCACUUCGGGAUAAGCCUGGGAAACUGGGUCUAAUACCGGAUAGGAGCCAUUUUUAGUGUGAUGGUUGGAAAGUUUUUUUCGGUGUAGGAUGAGCUCGCGGCCUAUCAGCUUGUUGGUGGGGUAAUGGCCUACCAAGGCGGCGACGGGUAGCCGGCCUGAGAGGGUGGACGGCCACAUUGGGACUGAGAUACGGCCCAGACUCCUACGGGAGGCAGCAGUGGGGAAUGUUGCACAAUGGGCGCAAGCCUGAUGCAGCGACGCCGCGUGGGGGAUGACGGCCUUCGGGUUGUAAACUCCUUUCGCUAGGGACGAAGCUUUUUGUGACGGUACCUAGAUAAGAAGCACCGGCUAACUACGUG